Molecule: long non-coding RNA, 5095 nt
Filed under: Citrus maxima (pomelo)
Lineage: Eukaryota; Viridiplantae; Streptophyta; Magnoliopsida; Sapindales; Rutaceae
Description: long non-coding RNA (CMAX_LNC001402)
Source: RNAcentral
UAAUACUCAUAAAUAUUUAUCAACAUUAAAUUGAGAGAGGUAUCGUUCGAAAUGGCUUCAGCAUCAAAAGCCCUUGUGCUAUUCUUCACACUGCUUAUUAUUGCUACCUCAAUCCCAUCAUCAUCAUCUACUUCAUCAUCAUCAUCAUCAUCAUGUCCAAAGAAUACCCUCAAGUUGGAUGCAUGUGUUGAUUUGUUGAAUGGCUUGGCGAAGGUGAACCUUGGUGAACUUGUUCCCACACCAAAUCACCCAUGCUGCAGCCUUCUUGGUGAUUUGGUUAGAGUCCAAGCACGUGUCUGUCUUUGCACUUCCCUCAAACUCAACGUCUUGGAUUUGAUUAAACUCAACAUCCCAGAGCUUUCUGUCAACUUGCUCUUGAAUCAGUGCAGGCCCAAGGUUCCUCGCGGCUACAAAUGCUGAAAAAUUAAUCCCACUAAAUAAUUUCUUUUUAAAUUAAUCCUCAUCUUCAAGACCUUUUCAUCGUGUGUUUUUUCUUUGGAUAUUUAGUGCAUUAUUUAUUUAUUUAUUUAUUUUUAAGGAAUUGAAGCUUUUCUGCUUCUUCCUUAUAUACUUCGAAUUAUUGGUUCCAUUACCAUGUAAUUUGAAAUAUGUACACACAGUAGUGUACGUGCUGUUUCAAUAUUAAUAAAUUGCAGUUUUCUUCAUUUUCUUCUUUGUCAGAGGAUUAAUAUUGGCCUCUACUCUCUUCAACUGUUCAACACGGUUGAUUCAGAGCAUUAUUAACUUGGUUGGCAUAAAUCUAUUACUCAAUGAUUGUUCGUAUUACUCUCUCUUCAAGCGAAAAAAUAUCCAUAAGAUGGCACAAUUAUCUUUUUCUCUUGUAAUUAAGAAAUAUAAAAAUUCGUGGUUCAUCUCAUGAGCUCUAUCUAUCAGAAAACAUUCCUUACACGGCUGUAAUCGAGUAAUUUGACAGAAGAUUACUUUCGACAAGUAAAAUAUAAAUGAUUCUUCGAUUCAAUCUAAAUUACUACUACUAUUGAGUAGAACUAUUGGCACCCUUCCAAAAUCCUCUUAAAACUCCUUUUUUAAUUAUGCUUCACUUAAUACCAAAAAUACCCAUUUUUCUACAUAAACACUCUUUUCAUUCGAGGUAGUCUAGUCAUGCCAAAAAAAUAAAGGUUCUGCUAUUCAGAGACCUUGCACUCGCACGCUCACAGCUGUUCGUGAUGCCAUGCCUGAAGAUGUUGUUUAUCCAGCUGAGAUUGUGGGAAAACACUUUAAAUAUCGUCUCGAUGGAUCCAAGAUAAUCAAGAUUUUCUUGGAUCACGGGAAGAAGAACAACACUGAGUACAAGCUGGAUACAGAAAGCAUACUAGGAAAGACAUGUUUUCCAGUUAUCCAAUUACAAAAGCCUAAAGAGUUGUUGCAGAUGGUCAAUUCCAUUGUUGUUCUAUUGCAGCACUACAAUUACUUUGAAUAGGAUACUAUUUAAUAUUUUUCCUCUUAAAUUUAGUAUGUCUUGUGGCAUAGGACGGAUGAAAUUUAUAGAAAUUUCAUUUUUUUUUAAGUUUUUUGUAAUUGCAGAGAAUUGUUGUGCUGAAGAACCUCAUGCCUUUGCGUUGAAGUGAAAGAUAUUUGAACUUUCAGAACAACAAGAAAAGGUAAAAAGAUUGAAUUUUAUUUGUAUAUCUAGUAUUAAUAUAUUUAGUAUUAUAUAUAUCUAGUAUUAAUUUUAUUUUAUAUAUCUAGAAAAAAAAAUAUCUAGUAUUAAUUGUAUUUGUAUUGUCCUUAAUUAUAAUUAUAAUAAAAUAGAUGUUUUAUAUGAUUAAUGAAGGGGUGCCAGUAGUCAAACUUUUUACUAUUAUACAUCGCAUCUCUAAUUAAUUCUCCAGAUUCAUUAUUAAUUUCAUAAGAAAAGUAAACAAACACAAAAUCCAACAGAAAGCAAUAUAAGAAUACAAACACCACUCCAACAGAAAGCAAUAUAAUCCUCCCUAUGGUGUUAAGGUAUGGUUGCGUAAUGAUUGUUUAGGGAUUGCUUUCCCUCGUUUUGUUAAGCCUUAGCUUGUGUUAGGCUCGUUUCUCUUACCAAAAAAAAAAAAAAAAAAAAAAGAAUACAAACACACUGCAACUUACAAGAAUAUAAAAGGUUACGGCCAUCCAAGUUCGAGCUAGGGAUGGCAAUGGUAAUUUUGUGGAUAAUUAAAAUUACCAAAAGUUAAAAUUCACGUGUUGUUGGUAAUUUUGUGGGUUCGGGGCAGGUUUAGUAUUAUAAAUUGAAACCCGCACUAGGUUGUGAGUGGAUUUGGUAUUAGUCAAAUAUCCAACAGAUAGCCGCAUGGGUAUAUACCAACCAACAACUUUUUUUUAAUUAUUUUUAAUUGAAAAAAUAUUUAAAUCUAAAAAUAUAUAAAGUAAAAAAUGUAAAGUGUAAACAUAUAUGUAAGUUGCAAUGUGCCUAACAACCUAAACCCUAAUUAAAGUCAUAACCUAAACUAAAGGAAAUCCAAACUAAAGGGAAAUCACCCUUGAGCCGCACACAUGUGAUCUCUCAGUAUGUAGUGUUAUAUAUUACAAACUUAUAAUCAUCUAUCUUUUUUCAUGAUAAACUUGUAAAUGCAAAUUCUUCUAAUAAAGCAGAAAAUAGCAAAUUCUCUGAAGACGAAGAUAUUUUUAAUGAGGUAAAGAACUAAGUUUUUUUAACUUAAUGCAUGGAUUAUUAUAUACUUAUUAUAAUUUCAUAUGGAGUAUUAUUCUUUUACUUAAUCUAUGGAUCAUUUCAUUAUUAUAAUCUUGUUCUUCGGAUUAGUAUUUAAAAAGUAUAAUUUUUAAAAAAAUAUUAAUCUUAAUCAUUAUUGUAAGAAUCGUGUUGGAUGGGUGCUAAUAGUGUGAAUGAAGUAUCUUCUCUUGGAGCUUGUGUUGAAUGAUAAUAUGAAAUGAUAAUUAUUAUUUUUAGAUACUAGUUUGUGGCUUUUUUUUUAUGGAUUUGUAUAUUUUAUACUUAAAUUUGAGAAUUUGUGCUGGAUUGAUGUUGAAAUUUUAAUUUUCCAUUUACAUUAGUUAAAUUUAGAAUUGAGUUUGUUAUGUCAAAUUUUAGGUUAUUAUUAUUAAUUUAUAUAUUGAACAUUUGUAAUUUUAAAUGUGGAAACUCUCAAAAAAUCUGUUGGAUAUCAUUGUAGGUUUGGUAAUUGUCAAAACCUGAUAAAACCCAUAGCAGGUUGUGGGUGGGGGUGGGUUUGUUAAUUUAAAUUUUAUGCAGGUGCGGGUUUGGUAAUGGCAAACCCGUUAUGGGUAGUACUCUUUUUCAUCCUUAGUUCGAGUCUUGGGGGAGCUCGAGGAAUAAAAAGAUAAUUUGAGCUUGCCACCAUCCUUUACUAGAUUCUCUAGAAAAAAUAGUGAAACCCCUAUUAUGUGAAUAAAUUAAUCGAAAACCCUUGACAGUUUAAAAUACAUCCGAAAAGAGUGAAACCCCUAUUGUUUGACUAAAUUAAUCGAAAUCUCCUUGAUAUUUUAAAAUACAUCCAAACCCCCUCGAAUAUGUUUUAAAACAUUAGCAAAAAAAAGUUGACACUCAAUAAGGUUUGGAUGUAUUUUAAAACAGCAGAAGAGUUUCGAUUAGUUUAGUCAAACGAUAGAGUGGGUUUUGCUCUUUUUCCAUUGAGGCAAGGAAGUACAUGUUACAACUAGAUUUAUAAAAUAUUUACUUGAAUGUAAGAUCAAAGAUGUUUUAUUAUAGCAAUAUUUUUUUCCCCUGGUCAUGUUGAUUAUUUUUACUCAUGUUUGAUGAUGUAAUUGAAAAAUAAAAUACCGGUCUAGUGGUCAAAGAUUUAAAUCUAUGUGCUACAAAAUUUGGCCAAAGAUUUUCACUUACAGUCUACUUUACUUCCAUGUCUUAUUUAUUUAGCUGGAAACUCCCUUUUCAUAUCUAAGAUUUAUUUAAUUACCUAAUUGGUCCUCGGAUAGUUGUAUUCUUAAAUAUGCCUUAAAAGACUAUGUUGUUACUUUUGUUCAUUUAGCCAAAGCCAUUUUUAACUUCUUUUACAUUUUUAUCAUUGAAAUGUUAAGUAAAGUUUACCCUAAAUCAAAGAAGUAAUUAUACAAAUAUCCUUCUAAUUCAAAAAAUAAUAUUGUACGUGAUUUUAUAUAAAUAUCCAUCUAGUUGUAAACUUGUAAUACAUGUGCUUCCUCUCCGCCGAGAUCUCUUCCGAACGUGCAAUAUCUCAUUACAGCUCUGCAACCAAAUCAAAUUAAUGGUUGUUUCAAUAACCUUAUAUGCUGGUGAGGUGGCCAAAGAAAUGACUACUUGUAGAUUUCUUAACUAUACAUUGGACGUCAUGUUAUUAAAUUUCAGUUGCUUAAUUGAGGACUUGAAAAAGUGAUUUUCAAACCUUUUUUUUUUUUUUUUUUGUAUUAGCAAUCCGAGUUUGAUCAUUAAAAGAAGAUAAAUGGUUAAAAAAAUGAUUUAGGUUGUAUGUACGCCUCUAUCUUCAAAAUAAAUAAAUAAAUAAAUAAAAGUCUUUAAGAAUUGAACCGAAUGGCUUUCAAGCAAGUUUAUUUUUACUGGUCAUCUGAAUUCGAAUCCUAAAGUUAAGAGACUAAAAAAUUAUUUUAGACUUUGUUCGUCCUCCACUUUUUUUUUUAAAGAAUGUUAUUAAUUUUAGAUGGAAAUAGUAUUGCAUUAUCUCCAAAUCUAGUUGGAAUUAAUUAAAAAUCUUAUUAGUAAUUGUUUUAUGCUAUUCGUGCCAGCAACGUGAAAGCAAUGAUCCAUAAUUCCAUAUACGUGCAUGUAAAUGGUGUGGAAAUUAAAAAAAAUUUAAAAGCCAAAUGGAUAGCCUAUAAAAACCCAAAACUCUUCACCAUUAUUUUCAUCACAUCUCAAUAAGCACAAUCAAUAAUACUCAUAAAUAUUAUUCAACAUUAAAUUGAGAGAGAUAUCAUUCGAAAUGGCGUCAGCAUCGAAAGCUCUUGUACUAUUCUUCACAGUGCUUAUUAUUGCUACCUCAAUCCCAUCAUCAUCAGCUACUUCAUCAUCAUCAUCAUCAUCAUCAUCGUCAUCGUCAUCAUGUCCAAAGAAUACCCUCAAGUUGGAUGCAUGUGUUGAUUUGCUGAAUGGUUUGGCAAAGGUGAACCUUGG